This 291-nucleotide ribosomal RNA is filed under the name Triticum aestivum (bread wheat). RNAcentral's name for it is "partial small subunit ribosomal RNA". Lineage: Eukaryota; Viridiplantae; Streptophyta; Magnoliopsida; Poales; Poaceae. The record is from RNAcentral.
AUGAAUGUCGUCAGAUCCUUACACAAAUCAAAGUCUGCUGCUCUGCUCCUCAAGUUGGAUAUUGCUGGCGCCUUUGACUCGGUCUCCUGGGGGUACAUGUCCAAGCUCAUGACUGUCAUGGGUUUUGGCCCUCGAUGGCGCAACCUCAUGGCUGUUUUGUAGGGCUCUGCCUCGUCCCGGAUCUUGGUCAACGGGGAGCUCGGGUUGCCAUUCUUUCACAUGCAGGGACUGUGUCAAGGAGACCCCCUCUCCCCUAUGCUCUUCACCAUCGCAAUUGCCCCGUUGCACUAG